GACAUAAGAAGAAAUAUAUAUUUAGUCUGUCCCCUGUCCCUGACCCAGAGCUCCUAAAUCCUAAACCCCUUGGAGUUCCCUGGGUGAUAAGAGCAUCCUUUGUUCUAAUGAGGCAACUCUUGAUGGUCU
RNAcentral lists this small nucleolar RNA (129 nucleotides) under Tursiops truncatus (common bottlenose dolphin). Its description in RNAcentral is "Small nucleolar RNA SNORD22 (ENSTTRG00000024846.1)". The record is from RNAcentral. Lineage: Eukaryota; Metazoa; Chordata; Mammalia; Artiodactyla; Delphinidae.